RNAcentral lists this transfer RNA (76 nucleotides) under Candidatus Omnitrophota bacterium. Its description in RNAcentral is "tRNA-Asn". It matches the Rfam family "tRNA". Rfam says of the family: Transfer RNA (tRNA) molecules are approximately 80 nucleotides in length. Their secondary structure includes four short double-helical elements and three loops (D, anti-codon, and T loops). Lineage: Bacteria; Pseudomonadati; Candidatus Omnitrophota. The record is from RNAcentral.
UCCCCUGUAGCUCAGCUGGUAGAGCAUGUGGCUGUUAACCACAGUGUCCUAGGUUCGAGUCCUAGCGGGGGAGCCA